This 495-nucleotide ribosomal RNA is filed under the name uncultured bacterium. Its description in RNAcentral is "partial 16S ribosomal RNA". It matches the Rfam family "Bacterial small subunit ribosomal RNA", at positions 28 to 507 of the family's 1533-position model. The record is from RNAcentral.
GACGAACGCUGGCGGCGUGCCUAAUACAUGCAAGUAGAACGCUGAAGGAGGAGCUUGCUCUUCUGGAUGAGUUGCGAACGGGUGAGUAACGCGUAGGUAACCUGCCUGGUAGCGGGGGAUAACUAUUGGAAACGAUAGCUAAUACCGCAUAAGAGUAGAUGUUGCAUGACAUUUACUUAAAAGGUGCAAUUGCAUCACUACCAGAUGGACCUGCGUUGUAUUAGCUAGUUGGUGGGGUAACGGCUUACCAAGGCGACGAUACAUAGCCGACCUGAGAGGGUGAUCGGCCACACUGGGACUGAGACACGGCCCAGACUCCUACGGGAGGCAGCAGUAGGGAAUCUUCGGCAAUGGACGGAAGUCUGACCGAGCAACGCCGCGUGAGCGAAGAAGGUUGUCGGAUCGUAAAGCUCUGUUGUAAGAGAAGAACGAGUGUGAGAGUGGAAAGUUCACACUGUGACGGUAUCUUACCAGAAAGGGACGGCUAACUACGUG